GAGGGUAUAGCUCUGUGGUAGAGUGCAUGCCUAGUAUGCAAGACGUUCUGGGCUCAAUCCCCAGUACUUCCA
This 72-nucleotide transfer RNA is filed under the name Camelus bactrianus (Bactrian camel). It matches the Rfam family "tRNA". From Rfam's summary of the family: Transfer RNA (tRNA) molecules are approximately 80 nucleotides in length. Their secondary structure includes four short double-helical elements and three loops (D, anti-codon, and T loops). Further hydrogen bonds mediate the characteristic L-shaped molecular structure. tRNAs have two regions of fundamental functional importance: the anti-codon, which is responsible for specific mRNA codon recognition, and the 3' end, to which the tRNAs corresponding amino acid is attached (by aminoacyl-tRNA synthetases). tRNAs cope with the degeneracy of the genetic code in two manners: having more than one tRNA (with a specific anti-codon) for a particular amino acid; and 'wobble' base-pairing, i.e. permitting non-standard base-pairing at the 3rd anti-codon position. Lineage: Eukaryota; Metazoa; Chordata; Mammalia; Artiodactyla; Camelidae. The record is from Rfam by way of RNAcentral. RNAcentral also lists the same sequence under 2 other names.